Molecule: unclassified non-coding RNA, 272 nt
Filed under: uncultured fungus
Lineage: Eukaryota; Fungi
Description: sequence contains ITS1
Rfam family: 5.8S ribosomal RNA (bases 1-99)
Source: RNAcentral
UAAAGUGCGAUAUGUAGUGCGAUUUGCAUGAAUCUGUGAGUCAUCUAAUCUUUGAACGCAACUUGCGCCUCGUCAAGAGGCAUGUCUGUUUGAGUGCCGCAAACAUCAAUGCAGCAAUGCGAUUUGAUCAAGUCUCUGGACUCGAUUUAAAGAAAGCCAGAAAAGUUUGCAUUGGGCAAGCCGAGUGCUAAGCAUUCUUGGUAACGCUCACUGCGGCUUUAUGAAAUUUUUACUUUGGCCUCAAAUCAGGCAAGACUACCCGCUGAACUUAA